Molecule: ribosomal RNA, 467 nt
Filed under: uncultured Thauera sp.
Lineage: Bacteria; Pseudomonadati; Pseudomonadota; Betaproteobacteria; Rhodocyclales; Zoogloeaceae
Description: bacterial SSU rRNA
Rfam family: Bacterial small subunit ribosomal RNA
Source: RNAcentral
UUGACGGGACCCCGCACAAGCGGUGGAUCAUGUUGUUUAAUUCGAUGAUACGCGAAGAACCUUACCAGGUCUUGACAUCCCUUGCAAAGCUAUGGAGACAUAGUGGAGGUUAUCAAGGAGACAGGUGGUGCAUGGUUGUCGUCAGCUCGUGUCGUGAGAUGUUGGGUUAAGUCCCGCAACGAGCGCAACCCUUAUUGCUAGUUACCAUCAUUAAGUUGGGGACUCUAGCGAGACUGCCAGUGAUAAACUGGAGGAAGGUGGGGAUGACGUCAAGUCCUCAUGGCCCUUAUGGGUAGGGCUUCACACGUCAUACAAUGGUCGGUACAGAGGGUUGCCAAGCCGCGAGGUGGAGCCAAUCCCUUAAAGCCGAUCGUAGUCCGGAUCGUAGUCUGCAACUCGACUACGUGAAGUCGGAAUCGCUAGUAAUCGCAGAUCAGCAUGCUGCGGUGAAUACGUUCCCGGGUCUU